GGCCGCGGGCGACUCCUGGUACCCCCGAGACCCCGCGAACUCACCUUCACAAAGCUGUCGGCGUCCGGAAAGCCUGGCAGUACCAUCUCCCCGUCGGAUUUGGUCUCGCUGGUAGCCGACUGGACCCUGGACUCGCGGGUAAGCUCCUGAAGAAAGCGUCUAGCUCCCACUGUGCUUCCUCCCUCCAGUGCCCUCUGAACUCCUCCAGAAAGACGUUCUUUCCUGCGGACACUGCUGGAACCAUUCUGGUUAACCCAGAGUGGGAACUCAAUACACAUUUGUGAAGUGAACUCCUGGAAAAGCUCUUGUGAGGGAGGCACCAAAUUAUCAGGCAGCUCAGGAGACAGAUUCACUCUCCUGAAAUCAGAGAUGGGAUGCCCUUAAUACAAUUCAUUCCACCCAUUAAGUGUUCAAUAAAUGUUCAGCAUAUCCAAUUAAGAGAA
This is a long non-coding RNA of Rhinopithecus roxellana (golden snub-nosed monkey), 443 nucleotides long. RefSeq lists it as uncharacterized. The record is from RefSeq and is a predicted model, not a curated record. The transcript is spliced from 2 exons. Lineage: Eukaryota; Metazoa; Chordata; Mammalia; Primates; Cercopithecidae.